This 363-nucleotide transfer-messenger RNA is filed under the name Salmonella enterica. It matches the Rfam family "transfer-messenger RNA". From Rfam's summary of the family: Bacterial tmRNA, also known as 10Sa RNA or SsrA, is named for its dual tRNA and mRNA-like properties. Its role is to liberate the mRNA from a stalled ribosome. The record is from RNAcentral. RNAcentral also lists the same sequence under 1 other name. Lineage: Bacteria; Pseudomonadati; Pseudomonadota; Gammaproteobacteria; Enterobacterales; Enterobacteriaceae.
GGGGCUGAUUCUGGAUUCGACGGGAUUUGCGAAACCCAAGGUGCAUGCCGAGGGGCGGUUGGCCUCGUAAAAAGCCGCAAAAAAAUAGUCGCAAACGACGAAAACUACGCUUUAGCAGCUUAAUAACCUGCUUAGAGCCCUCUCUCCCUAGCCUCCGCUCUUAGGACGGGGAUCAAGAGAGGUCAAACCCAAAAGAGAUCGCGUGGAUGCCCUGCCUGGGGUUGAAGCGUUAAAACGAAUCAGGCUAGUCUGGUGGUGGCGUGUCCGUCCGCAGGUGCCAGGCGAAUGUAAAGACUGACUAAGCAUGUAGUACCGAGGAUGUAGGAAUUUCGGACGCGGGUUCAACUCCCGCCAGCUCCACCA